UGACGUCCCUGAGGAACCGAGACCACUCACUUGCUGAGCGAUUCUUAUUAGGAAACCAUGGGCUCAGACUUUAAAGUCAAAGAGGGGCAGGAGGGAGCGCAGCGGUUGAUUACUUGCUGAUCUGGCCGACGACUUAGGGAUGAGGAGCACAGCUCAUUGUAGAGCGCUUGCCUGGGAUAACCAAGGAUCUUGGCUCAAUUUCCACAGAAGAAAUAGCUUCCCAGGCUGUGACACUACGGACACCAUCCUGGAAUUUGUUUACUUGUUUUUAUAUUCUAUAGCCAAGUGUCUGAAAUCCCAGCAUUCCGCCGGCUGAGACCCUGAGAGUCACCCGCAAGCCUGAGCUUCCUGAAUGGAGUUCCAGACUUGAGGCAAAUUAGAGUGACAAGGGCUAGAGGGAUGCUGGUUGGUUAAAACUCACCCGAUCCUGUGGAGGACCUGACUUCGGAUGCCAGCACCCACACUGCACGUCUCACAGCCACCUGUAACCCCAAUUUCAGGCGAUCUGACCUCAUCAUCUGGAACCUACAGUCGCACACACAACUCCCACACAGAGACAUAGAGCAGACACAUAGCUACAAAUAAAAUAAAUCUUUAAAAAGAUUAGAGUGGGGGCUAGAGAGAAGGCUCAGUGGUUAAGAGCACCGACUGCUCUUCCAGAGGUCCUGAGUUCAAAUCCCAGCAACCACAUGGUGGUUCACAACCAUCUGUAAUGAGAUCUGAUGCCCUCUUCUGGUGUGUCUGAAGAUAGCUACAGUGUACUUAUAUAAUAAAUAAAUAAAUCUUGGGGCUGGAGAGAUGGCUCAGAGGUUAAGAGCACUGUCUGCUCUUCCAGAGGUCCUGAGUUCAAUUCCCAGCAACCACAUGGUGGCUCACAACCAUCUAUAAUCAGGUCUGGUGCCCUCUUCUGGCCUGCAGGCGUAUAUGCAGGCAGAAAGCAGUAUGAUGUAUACAUAAUAAAUAAAUGUUUAAAAUAAAUAAAUAAAUAAAUAAAUCUUUAAAAAAAAGAUUAGAAUGAUAAUAACCUAUUGGGGCAGCAGUAUGUGUUUAGCACGAUACAAUAUUUAUGGCAGAAUUAGGUAAAUAUUAAACACUGAUCUGGAAUUAGUCAGGUAUGAAGCCUGGUUCCUUCAUUUGCUACCCCGUAAAAUUUUUUUUUUUUUUGGUUCUUUUUUUUCCGGAGCUGGGGACCGAACCCAGGGCCUUGCGCUUCCUAGGUAAGCGCUCUACCACUGAGCUAAAUCCCCAGCCCCCCUGUAAAAUUUUUGAUUUGGGUAGAUUGAUUUGUUUGUCUGUUUAUUUGUUUUGGUCGUUUCAAGGUAUGCUUUUUUUGUAUAGCCUCGGCUGUCCUGGAACUCGUUCUGUAGACCAGGCUGGCCCCAAACUCAAAGACCUGCCUGCCUCUGUCUCCUGAGUGCUGGGACUGCGGGUAUGCUGGAUCGCCACCAUCGGGUGAGUUGUGCGUUUGUUUGUUUGCUUGUUUGUUUUUAAGACAGGCUUUCAUAUAGCCUGGGCUAAACUCGCUCUGGGUGCGCCUCCCUCGGUGUCUCUGCUCACACAGGACCUCCUAAGAUAAUCAAUCACAUGAGAUGACUAACACAAACCGAUUUGAAUGAGAUUAUAUAAACCUAAGCAAAAUUUGUCUCGUAUUAUCUUUGCCUAAGAACUGUAUUAGCACAAUGAUGUUCUGUUCUUUAGGAAGGGGUGAGAAGGGAGCCAUUGCUGCUUUUAAGCAGUUUUCAGGAAGUGGGGUGACCACACUGCCGCGUGACUUGGGGUCAGCUCGUGGACAUCUCUUCUUCCCAACAACUGUGCGCUGCUUGUACGACCUGGGGAGGGACCUGUGAGUCCUGGAACUGUCGCACUUUCCAGGGCCACAAGCUUGCUGGGAAGAGAACUGUCAACUCAGAUGACACAGCUCCCUGCCAAAGGAUCUUUUAAAGGACAGGACAACCCUGGGUGAUGGCCCAAGCUUGUGAUCUUAGCACUCAGGAGACGGAGACAGGAGGAUCAAAAUUGAAGGUAGAGAGUAUUAGUUUGUGGAGGUGUUUGCUGUCUCUAUAAACUCACUCCCUUUCUAGAUAUAUAUUAAAUAUAAGCAUUAAACACCAAGAUAAUAAGGGCCUUGCCUUCCAAGAACUCAAAAUUGAAUUCUGUUUAACCAUCAAGGAAAUAGAAAUUGAAAGUGGUCUUCACCUAUAUAGCAAACUUAAAGACCCUGCACAAACAAGACCCUGUCCCGUGUGUGUGUGUGUGUGUGUGUGUGUGUGUGUGUGUGUGUGUGUGAUGUAUGUGAGUAGAUGUCUGUGUGUUUAUGGUGUGUCUGUGGUCUGUAUGUAUGUGGUGUGUUUGUCUGUGUAUAUCUGCUGUGCUUAUGUAUGUCUCUGUGUAUGUGGUGUGUCUGAGUCUAUGUGUUUGAGGUGUUUGUGUAUAUGUUUGUGGGGUGGUAUGUUUGUGUAUGUGUAGUUUGUGUGUGUGGUGUGUAUAUGUGUUUGUGGUGUGUGUGUGUGUGAUAUGCAUGUGGGUGUAUGUCUGUGUGUUUGUGGUAUGUGUGUGUGUGUGUGAUAUGUAUUUGAGUGUAUGUCUGUGUGUUUGAGGUGUUUGUGCAUAUGUUUGUAGGGUGGUAUGUUUGUGUAUGUGUAGUUUGUGUGUAUGGUGUGUGUGUAUGUGUGUGGUGUGUAUGUAUGUGUCUGUAUCUGUGUGGUGUGUCUGUGUGUUUGAGGUGUGUGUAUAUGUUUGUGUAUCUGUGGUAUGUUCGUGUGUAUAUUUAUGUAUGUGUGAUAUGUGUCUAUGUAUAUAUACAAGCUGUUUUGUGGUUGUUAUACUACAGACAUGAUCUCAGCAAAUGAGAACAGUGUAAAUUAAUCGAAAAGUUGCCUUUCAGUUUUUGUUUUGUUUGCUUGUCUGGUUUUUUUUUUUUUUUUUUUAAGACAAGGUCUCAUGGUGUAGCUUUGGCUGUAAUAGAAGUUACUAUAUAGACCAGGUUGGCCUCAAACUCACAGAGAUCCACUUGGCUCUAGAGGCCUUCCACAUGCUGUUAUCAAAGGCAUGGGCCUUCAUAUCCAACUAACUUUAUCAUUUCUCAUCCCAAAAUUGUCAAUUCUUCUGCCAUUCACAUACAAAGUUAUAUUUAGACUUUUUCCUAACAAUUUCUGAAAUGUCUUUCAUUUUAAAUGUAUUUAUUUCAUGUUUCAUAGUUUCUUCUAGGAUACAAAUGUUUGUUAGUCAGCAUGGGUUAUUAAAAGGACCAAAAAAAGAACAUUGAAAUUUCAAUUUUAAGAUGGCCAAUGGCUCAGGAGGAAAAGGUAUUUUGUCAUCAAGCCUGACUCCCCGAGUUAGAGCUCCAAACUCUACCCUGUGAAAGCAGAGAACCAACUCCCACAUGCUGUUCUCGGAUCUUCCCAAGUAGACCCACAUGAAUAAAUAAAGUGUAAAUUUAAAUUUUAAA
Molecule: non-coding RNA, 3448 nt
Organism: Rattus norvegicus (Norway rat)
Lineage: Eukaryota; Metazoa; Chordata; Mammalia; Rodentia; Muridae
Source: RefSeq, a predicted model, not a curated record